CGUCGGCGAAGCUUGCCGUCACGGGAGGUGAUCCGGCAUCGCAUUCUUGCUGCUUUGAGCCACUAGCACCGCUGCUGCUACUCCGAAAUUCCGUUUCUGUUUCUUAGGGUUUGCUAUCUCAGCCCCUUGAAGUUACGUUGGUUCUGUUCUUGCUGUUACCUGAAUCUCUGCCGCCGUGGGUAUUGCCAAUGGAGUCGCUGGGAACCAAUGUUGGAGAUGUCCUUGAUGAUUCUGAUGCUGCUACGUAGGUUCGGAGCUGCUGUGUUGUUGCCGGAGGAAGGAAACUCAU
This is a non-coding RNA of Arachis ipaensis, 289 nucleotides long. The record is from RefSeq and is a predicted model, not a curated record. Lineage: Eukaryota; Viridiplantae; Streptophyta; Magnoliopsida; Fabales; Fabaceae.